Molecule: long non-coding RNA, 515 nt
Filed under: Junco hyemalis (dark-eyed junco)
Lineage: Eukaryota; Metazoa; Chordata; Aves; Passeriformes; Passerellidae
Description: lncRNA (ENSJHYG00000007770.1)
Source: RNAcentral
CAGGCUAAUGUUCUUUUAAUGUGCUAUCUUCAAAUAUAGUGCCUUGGAGGGUUAUGUGUGUCCUUAUAAAUAAAGCAAAAGCCAGAAAUGCCAAAGUAUAAAUGGACAACACUGAACUCCUUAAGAUGGCAAAAGGCAGGCAGUAUAGUUUGUUUUCAUGAUGUGUGAUUCCCAGGAGCCUCAGCAGAUUUCAGCAGGGGAAACCUACCAGAGAAGUCCUCUUGGCUGCAGAUUACAAGAUCUUUAAGGAGCUCUGUAGAAGUAGAGAAGGGUUAUUAAAAAGAGAUUACUUCCAGGCUGUGACAAACUUGUCGGCACAAGCUAAAAGUGACUUUUCAGAUGUUUACAACGAGUUUGAUAAGAUUUUUAGAAGGACAUCAUUAAGCACCUCUUCAGCACUGAGGGCUGACAAGGUCGUAGGAGUGCUGCGAAAGAGACGCAUCAAGGAAUUGAUCUCUGGUUUUCACAUGCCAGUAAAAGUUAGGACAGCAUCCUCAACAGCAGGUGGCAGAUGA